RNAcentral lists this non-coding RNA (31 nucleotides) under Rattus norvegicus (Norway rat). The record is from RNAcentral. Lineage: Eukaryota; Metazoa; Chordata; Mammalia; Rodentia; Muridae.
UGCUGGGUCAAUGGCUGAAUCCUACCAGAGU